AUUGAACGCUGGCGGCAUGCUUUACACAUGCAAGUCGAACGGUAACAGGCCGCCAGGUGCUGACGAGUGGCGAACGGGUGAGUAAUGCAUCGGAACGUGCCCAGUCGUGGGGGAUAACUACUCGAAAGAGUAGCUAAUACCGCAUACGAUCUAUGGAUGAAAGCGGGGGACCGUAAGGCCUCGCGCGAUUGGAGCGGCCGAUGUCAGAUUAGGUAGUUGGUGGGGUAAAGGCUCACCAAGCCAACGAUCUGUAGCUGGUCUGAGAGGACGACCAGCCACACUGGGACUGGGCCCCGGCCCAGCCUCCUACGGGAGGCAGCAGUGGGGAAUUUUGGACAAUGGCCGCAAGCCUGAUCCAGCAAUGCCGCGUGCAGGAAGAAGGCCUUCGGGUUGUAAACUGCUUUUGUACGGAACGAAACGGCUCUGGUUAAUACCCGGGGCUAAUGACGGUACCGUAAGAAUAAGCACCGGCUAACUACGUG
Molecule: ribosomal RNA, 482 nt
Filed under: uncultured bacterium
Lineage: Bacteria
Description: partial 16S ribosomal RNA
Rfam family: Bacterial small subunit ribosomal RNA
Source: RNAcentral